This 279-nucleotide ribosomal RNA is filed under the name uncultured bacterium. RNAcentral's name for it is "partial 16S ribosomal RNA". It matches the Rfam family "Bacterial small subunit ribosomal RNA", at positions 506 to 784 of the family's 1533-position model. The record is from RNAcentral.
UGCCAGCAGCCGCGGUAAUACGAAGGGAACUAGCGUUGCUCGGAAUCAUUGGGCGUAAAGCGCCUGUAGGCGGCCAGGCAAGUCGGAUGUGAAAGCCCGGGGCUCAACCCCGGAACUGCAUCCGAAACUGCUUGGCUUAAGUACGGGAGAGGGAAGCGGAAUUCCCAGUGUAGAGGUGAAAUUCGUUGAUAUUGGGAGGAACACCCGUGGCGAAAGCGGCUUCCUGGCCCAGUACUGACGCUGAGACGCGAAAGCGUGGGGAGCAAACAGGAUUAGAUA